Molecule: long non-coding RNA, 1530 nt
Filed under: Chinchilla lanigera (long-tailed chinchilla)
Lineage: Eukaryota; Metazoa; Chordata; Mammalia; Rodentia; Chinchillidae
Description: lncRNA (ENSCLAG00000026865.1)
Source: RNAcentral
GUUCUGUGUCUGCUGGUGCUCCUUUGUACAUUUGAGAUGUAAUCAGAAAUGCUCCUUGGACUCAGUCCUCCCUGUCCCCUCGGCCGCGGCCGCCCUUCCUGUCCAUGGGCCUUUGAGUCACCUCUCGCUUGCGUGAAGGGAUUAAUUUGAGUUUUCUUUCCAGAGAAGGAUGUGCGUAGAGCAGCAUGCACACUGCCACAUCCCUGAGCCUGUUUUCUUCUGCUGCCUGGAGACCUACACCAUGGCGGCCCCCAGGACAGCGUGGCAGCCCAAAGGGACCCCGCUGGGGGCAAGGCCGGUAGGCAGGAGAGACUCUGGCAUGGCUAGAGUGAUUUCGCACCCUCUGAGCACCCUGUGUGCUUGCAUGGGUCCCACCAGCACGGGACCAGCUUUGCUUGGACCCCAACCCAGCCCUGUGUCAAACGAUUUAAAUGCACUCUCCGUUGAGAAAGUUGCAGCCAUGGUGGUCUCUGUUUUGCCUUCUGUGUCAUUUUCUCUCCUGAUCUUUGCCUCACUCCGCCUGAUGCUUCCGGGCAGCCGCUCACAGGUGUGUGUGGCCCCAGUGUCCGGCCUUACCAAGCCGGUGCUCUCCACACCAGAGCUCCCUACGUCGCCCCUGGGUCUCCCACACUCUCCUCCGCCUCUGUUCUUCCUCAGUAGACUCCUCCACCCGCCGACUUCUGCUGCCUCCAUGCCAUUGCAUCUACCUCACGACUUUUCUCUGAAGUUCUGUACAGCCUGGGAUUUCCCUGGCCAAGAAAGUGGGCUUCCAGAGCCGGCUCCUCUUCACUCUGCAGUGGUUAAAUCCCUGCCUGUCCUGCUCAGAUGGUGUCUGCCAUUGGGUUUUGCAGCUGCCCGGGGUGGGGCUGGGAGCCGGGGUGGAGGGAGUGACUGGGAAAAUCCGCGGGGGAACUUGGUGGUGUUUUCCCUGUGGAAUGAAGCCCCCACUCAGACCAAGCUCUGUACCCGCCCCUUUCUCCACCCACCGCCUCGGGCACAGGCCCUUCUGAACCUUGGCCUGGCUUCAAGGCUGUGUGCCCACAGAUCCAGCCCCGCCCCCAGACACUGUCUCUGAGUAGCUCAAGAGAUUCCUGGCCGCCCUAGGAGAGGCCACCUGGUCUGUGCUGCCCCUGGCCCCCGUCACCCAGCUGCUACCCGUGUCCUGUGGCUGAGGGGUCCCGGCCUGGCCCUUUCCCUCGGUGGCCACAAUUACCUAGCUCUGAAGCAGUGUCACAAACGAGCACCCGCCCUCAGGGCACUGCAUGUGAGCACCCCGGGGUGGGUGGGGCUCGCUCCUGCACCCGGGGGUGCGUCUGUCUGGUACAGUGGGUCCUGGCCCUCGUCGUGCUCUCCACUGCCCAGGGGCCCCUCAGAAUUGGCCCCCUGUUCCCCCUUCCCUCUGGCCUUCCUCUCUCUCUGCUCCCAUUUGUUUUUUGAGACAGGGUCUCGUUAUGUAUUUCAGGCUGGCCUUGAACUCUCUAUGGAAGCCAGGCUGGCCUCAAGCUCUCAGAGAUCCUCCUGCCUCAGCCU